GUAGCUAAAUGCGGAAGAGAUAAGUGCUGAAAGCAUCUAAGCACGAAACUUGCCCCGAGAUGAGUUCUCCCUGAGACUUUAAGUCUCCUGAAGGAACGUUGAAGACGACGACGUUGAUAGGUCGGGUGUGUAAGCGCAGCGAUGCGUUGAGCUAACCGAUACUAAUGAACCGUGAGGCUUAACCUU
RNAcentral lists this ribosomal RNA (186 nucleotides) under Enterobacter hormaechei. RNAcentral describes it as "partial 23S ribosomal RNA". It matches the Rfam family "Bacterial large subunit ribosomal RNA", at positions 2745 to 2925 of the family's 2925-position model. RNAcentral also lists the same sequence under 3 other names. The record is from RNAcentral. Lineage: Bacteria; Pseudomonadati; Pseudomonadota; Gammaproteobacteria; Enterobacterales; Enterobacteriaceae.